CCUACGGGCGGCAGCAGUGAGGAAUAUUGGUCAAUGGGCGAGAGCCUGAACCAGCCAAGCCGCGUGAGGGAAGAAGGUCCUAUGGAUUGUAAACCUCUUUUGUCGGGGAGCAAAAAGGCCUAGUGAGCCCACAAGUGAGGGUACACGAAGAAAAAGCAUCGGCUAACUCCGUGCCAGCAGCCGCGGUAAUCCGGAGGAUGCGGGCGUUAUUGGGAUUUAUUGGGUUUAAAGGGUGCGUAGGCGGACUGGAAAGUCAGCGGUAAAAUCGAGAGGCUCAACCUCUUUCCGCCGUUGAAACUGGCGGUCUAGAGUGGGCGAGAGGUAGGUGGAAUGCGUGGUGUAGGGGUGAAAUGCAUAGAUAUCACGCAGAACUCCGAUUGCGAAGGCAGCAUACCGGCGCCCGACUGACGCUGAGGCACGAAAGCGUGGGGAUCGAACAGGAUUAGAUACCCGAGUAGUC
This 460-nucleotide ribosomal RNA is filed under the name uncultured bacterium. Its description in RNAcentral is "partial 16S ribosomal RNA". It matches the Rfam family "Bacterial small subunit ribosomal RNA", at positions 338 to 795 of the family's 1533-position model. The record is from RNAcentral.